Molecule: ribosomal RNA, 227 nt
Filed under: uncultured bacterium
Lineage: Bacteria
Description: partial 16S ribosomal RNA
Rfam family: Bacterial small subunit ribosomal RNA
Source: RNAcentral
UACGUAGGGUGCAAGCGUUUAAUCGGAAUUACUGGGCGUAAAGCGUGCGCAGGCGGUUUUGUAAGUCUGUCGUGAAAUCCCCGGGCUCAACCUGGGAAUUGCGAUGGAGACUGCAAGGCUAGAAUCUGGCAGAGGGGGGGUAGAAUUCCACGUGUAGCAGUGAAAUGCGUAGAGAUGUGGAGGAACACCGAUGGCGAAGGCAGCCCCCUGGGUCAAGAUUGACGCUC